UUCGCAGUUUCUGAUUGUUUGGGCUAAGAUAGAAGCGCUGUGCUUGAUGCUUGCACCUAUGUUCCGAACUUUCCUUCGUUUUGUGCCAGUGUCAAGUUUAUCGCUUGAUUCUGUCGCCGAUGAUUCUGAUCCUUCUGAAACCUCCGGGAGAUCCAUCACCAGCUCCGGCGGAGCCUCCCGAAUAGUCACCGGAGUUGGAGAAGCAGAAACAGCAGCUGAAAUUUGCUGUUGCUGUUGCUGCUGUUGCUGUUGUGAAGCA
RNAcentral lists this unclassified non-coding RNA (259 nucleotides) under Hevea brasiliensis (rubber tree). The record is from RNAcentral. Lineage: Eukaryota; Viridiplantae; Streptophyta; Magnoliopsida; Malpighiales; Euphorbiaceae.